Molecule: long non-coding RNA, 361 nt
Organism: Culex pipiens pallens (northern house mosquito)
Lineage: Eukaryota; Metazoa; Arthropoda; Insecta; Diptera; Culicidae
Exons: 2
Source: RefSeq, a predicted model, not a curated record
AACGAUGACGACGAAAUCCUUUUCCUUUGCCCUCCUCCGCCACUGCAUCUUACACUCGGAAUUGUAAAUACGAUCUUCAAGGGAGUAGAGAAGAAUUCUCCCGAUUGGGCAGAUUUGUGGGUGAGCCAAGCCAACGUACGACAUCAGCAGAAAACAUAUGGUUUUACAGGCCGGGCUUGUCACGCGCUAUUGAAGGCGGCUGAUUGCUUGGAACUUAAUUCUGAUUUACUUGGUUACGCUAAGGCUCUGAAGAAGUUCAACGACGUAUAUAAUAAGUGUUUCUCAUUUAAACUAGAUGCUAGUUUUGAAGAAAGUAUCCACGAAUUUGUGUCUAGCUGGGAAGACCUUCAGCUACCUAAUA